AUAAUGCUUCGUUGUGAAUGAUAUGCAGUAAAAAAUCAUCUACAUGCAAUGCCAGAGCCUGGCCUGUUGGUACAGUGCAUGGCUGACCUCAAAACCCGACAGAGCUGUUUCCUGUGCAGGAAAUCUUGUUAGGGGCAUUCUCCAGCUGUACUGGUAUCACCAUAAGCUAACAUUGGUACCUGACUGAUGUGGGGUCCACAUGAUGUAUGAAUGACUUCCAACCCGUCCAUCAGAUGUCCCCAAAAUUUACCCCUGACGCCCAAAAAUGAGACCAUGAAUCAGGUCGGCUAUGCACAGGAAACAAGUUUCUAGGAGAUGCCACACUCGAUUUUCGGUGGGGCCCUCUUGAGUUGCAAAAAUGCCUGAUAUUUGGCCUGACACUUCAUCCAGGCCACAUGAAGUGUCUGAAUGGCCUAGAUUUCAUGUAAACAAUAUGAAGGUUACACCAUGCAAAUCAAUGUUGUGCGCUCCUCUCAAAUUGUUCCCCUUGUUGUUGCCCAUUUGAGUUUUGGAUUGGCCUGAUUUUUGGUCCCUAGGGGAAAAUUGAGGUCAUCUUAUGGACAGGUUAGAUGUGGUUCACACAUCAACCCAGUACCAUUGAAACGUGGCCCAUCUUAUUAAUCAUUGAAAGAUGAAAACUGAAUUGGCGUCACUUUGGCAAUUAGAGGAAAUGCUUGUGGCAAUUUCUACUGAAAAUUAAAGAAUGCUUUUUAUUUUUAUUUUUUCAGGGAACAGCGGAUGAUGUUGUAAGUUGGUCCCAUGGCAAGAAGCUUUGGGAGCUUUGUAAAGAGAAGUAUGAACCCCUAUGGAUUAAAGGAGGAAAACACUGUGAUUUGGAAAAUCAUUCAGAAUACAUUAAGCAUCUGAAAAAGUUCAUCUCGGCCGUUGAAAAAUUAUCCACCCCUAGAAAUGAAUCUAAUCAGAUCACCGAUCUUUCAGAGACUCCUCGCACCAGUUCCGACCGUUGGGAGCUCUCAAGGAAGAAAACUGACAGUAGAGACUGGUCUAAGUCAAGCACAGAUUGUAGAGAGAAGUCCCGCAGCAGCACUGAUAGAAGAGAGAAAUCAAGAAAGAGUGCGGACCUUUCCGAGAAGGGUAGGAACAGCACGGACCAGCCUGAGAAAGGGCGGAAAAGCUUUGGAGAAGUGAUGAAAUCAGUGUGCAAUAUUGAUUGUUUCAAAGAUCCAGAGUCCCAGGAAAAUAAGAACGACGACUAGAGCCAAUUUAUCCAGCGAUCAAUCAUCAAUGGGUCGACAUGUGUUCUGUAUCUCAUUUUUUCUUCAUAAUAAUAAUAGGCCUAUUAUAUGGUUGCAUUCUAUUUCAUCAUCAAUAAAUUUUAUUUUAUUUUAUUUUA
This is an RNA transcript of Magnolia sinica, 1354 nucleotides long. RefSeq lists it as uncharacterized. The transcript is spliced from 3 exons. Lineage: Eukaryota; Viridiplantae; Streptophyta; Magnoliopsida; Magnoliales; Magnoliaceae. The record is from RefSeq and is a predicted model, not a curated record.